Molecule: ribosomal RNA, 468 nt
Filed under: uncultured bacterium
Lineage: Bacteria
Description: partial 16S ribosomal RNA
Rfam family: Bacterial small subunit ribosomal RNA
Source: RNAcentral
GACGAACGCUGGCGGCGUGCUUAACACAUGCAAGUCGAACGGACAGGCCCUGCUCUUGUUGCUUGCUCGAGUGCCGAACGGGUGAGUAACACGUGAGUAACCUGCCCUUGACUUUCUGAUAACUCCAGGAAACUGGGGAUCAUACCGGAUAUAAGCUCCUGCUCCAUGGGGGGGGAUGGUAAGAGUCGGCGGUGUGGGAUCGACUCGCGGCUUAUCAGCUUGCUGGGGGGGUAGUGGCUUACCAAGGCUGUGACGGGUAGCCGGCCUGAGAGGGUGGACGGCCACAAGAGGACUGAGAGACGGACCAGAAUGCUACGGGAGGCAGCAGUGGGGAAUAUUGCGGAGUGGGGGGAAGCCAGAGACAGCGGCGCCGCGUGCGGGAUGACCGGUUUCGGGGUGUGAACCACUGUCGCCUGAGACGUGGCGUGAGUGACGGUAAUGAGUAAGGAAGCACCGGCUAACUACGUG